UGACCCCUGCCGUGUUCGUGAUUGGAAGAUGUUCUUUGAUCCAACGCCUAAAGACGGGAACCUUCUCUGGCUUCGGUGUGCAAUUUCUGCUCGUACAGAAAAGCCUAAAGAAGCCAUAAGGGGCCCACGUAUCCAAACAGGUUCAAAGACCUGCCAACACGGCACUCUGGUGGGGGUUUC
RNAcentral lists this non-coding RNA (180 nucleotides) under Desulfobacteraceae bacterium. RNAcentral describes it as "6S RNA". It matches the Rfam family "6S / SsrS RNA". From Rfam's summary of the family: E. coli 6S RNA was the first non coding RNA to be sequenced, but its function was unknown until recently. The record is from RNAcentral. Lineage: Bacteria; Pseudomonadati; Thermodesulfobacteriota; Desulfobacteria; Desulfobacterales; Desulfobacteraceae.